GAUGAACGCUGGCGGCGUGCCUAAUACAUGCAAGUCGAGCGAACAGAUGAGGAGCUUGCUCCUCUUACGUUAGCGGCGGACGGGUGAGUAACACGUGGAUAACCUACCUAUAAGACUGGGAUAACUUCGGGAAACCGGAGCUAAUACCGGAUAAUAUAUUGAACCGCAUGGUUCAAUAGUGAAAGACGGUUUUGCUGUCACUUAUAGAUGGAUCCGCGCCGCAUUAGCUAGUUGGUAAGGUAACGGCUUACCAAGGCAACGAUGCGUAGCCGACCUGAGAGGGUGAUCGGCCACACUGGAACGGAGACACGGUCCAGACUCCUACGGGAGGCAGCAGUAGGGAAUCUUCCGCAAUGGGCGAAAGCCUGACGGAGCAACGCCGCGUGAGUGAUGAAGGUCUUCGGAUCGUAAAACUCUGUUAUUAGGGAAGAACAAAUGUGUAAGUAACUAUGCACGUCUUGACGGUACCUAAUCAGAAAGCCACGGCUAACUACGUG
Molecule: ribosomal RNA, 497 nt
Filed under: uncultured bacterium
Lineage: Bacteria
Description: partial 16S ribosomal RNA
Rfam family: Bacterial small subunit ribosomal RNA
Source: RNAcentral